UAUCUCUCCGUACGGGGAAGGAUGAGAAGCUUCGACUAAGGUUCGAUUCGAGCGCAGCGAGAAAGCGUUGCCGCAGGCAACGACCCGAAGGGCGAAGCGCGCAGCGCUGAGUCAUCCUCCCCCCACCACCA
This 131-nucleotide small RNA is filed under the name Salmonella enterica subsp. enterica serovar Cubana. RNAcentral's name for it is "RtT sRNA". It matches the Rfam family "RtT RNA". Rfam says of the family: This family represents a bacterial cis-regulatory element known as RtT RNA. The record is from RNAcentral. Lineage: Bacteria; Pseudomonadati; Pseudomonadota; Gammaproteobacteria; Enterobacterales; Enterobacteriaceae.